This 1323-nucleotide long non-coding RNA is filed under the name Homo sapiens (human). RNAcentral's name for it is "HSALNT0245586". Lineage: Eukaryota; Metazoa; Chordata; Mammalia; Primates; Hominidae. The record is from RNAcentral.
AAGUGACUGGGUUUGAAAUUCCACGUGGGUGCCUGGGGGAGUGUGCACUUGUCAGAGGACAAAAGCCCUCGACGCUCUUGCGUUCACUCAGUAGCCAUGGUUCACGCGCCCCACGGCAAGUGCUGCGAGGGGGAGAGACACAGGGAAAUGGCCCUGAAAUGGCACAGGGAGGUGCCCAGGCUCCGAGCAGCCCGGAGGACUCUGGAACCGUGGGGAAGCUGCCGGUAUGGAGCCCAGUGAGCUCCUGGAACAGCACUACCGCUCCCCAAGACCUCCACCCACUUCAUCGCUUAUGGCACCUGCUGCGGGGUUAGGUGCCUGUCCACCUGCCAGGCAACCUAGUUCAAGCUGUUCCUCCAAUCACAUGACCCUGCAGACCAGCCCUGUGCCCUACCAGGCGGCGCCAGCCACCCCAGCUCACUUCUGGUGCCCUCAGGAGGAUUUUGUCCAGUUGUUUGAGGCUGGCAGAGGUUUGUUGGGACACAGGGGGGUGUACAACAGGCCCCCCUGAGCCAUUUCUGUUGAAGAGGUGUUUACUUGCCCUCCCAAUUAGUUCCCAAGAGACUGGAAGUGUUGGAGUCUUGUUAGGAAAAGUGUGGAUAAACUGUAAACGCCUGAGAAAGGUCUUUGGGCUGAAGGCUUUCUGGUGAUGGUGGCCAAAGGGUCCUCCCAGGCUGGCACCCCACAGCGUGCAGAGCAGUCUAGUCCACAAAAGGAGCCACACUCGCUCAUGUGUCCCCACAUCAACCAUCCCCAAAACCGGACUCAAGGGCAGAAGUGUCGUGGCAGCGUCUCUAAGCAGCGCGGGCUAAUGCAGAGGCCGCUGCAUUUACCUGGGGUGCCGCGCACAGCCCAGACGUGCUGGGGAGUGAGCGAUUCUGGGGUUGGCCCUUUAGAAGUGCUGGAGGUGUCAUGUGAAAUCCUAACUCGGGGGCAGCCUCCCCAGGAAGCAGGCCGGGUCUAGGGGGCUAGACUCUUUGAUUUUUAACUAUCCAAUGCAAUUCUGCAAUAGAUAUUGGAGAGUGAAUUUUAAACUGCUGUGUUCAUUAGCUUGCCUCUCAAUUAUCAGCAGAGCUUUUGGCAGGACGGAAGUUGAUUUAUGUUUGUUUGCAUGGAGGGGCCCCUAAAAUCCCACCCCGCUUCAGCCUUGGACAGUCCUGUGCCUUUUCUAACAGAUGGAGUGGAACAAGCUGAGUCACCCCACGCCGGGCCCGCUUGGGAACGCCGGGGUGGGGGUACUGCUCGGCUGACCCUCGGGUUUGGGUUUGCUGAGCAGGGUGGACAGGCCAACAAAGGGGGUCUACCAAGGUGCUGGGUCAGGGA